RNAcentral lists this unclassified non-coding RNA (293 nucleotides) under Glomus sp. RNAcentral describes it as "partial internal transcribed spacer 2". Lineage: Eukaryota; Fungi; Glomeromycota; Glomeromycetes; Glomerales; Glomeraceae. The record is from RNAcentral.
GUGAAUCAUCGAAUUUUUGAACGCAAAUUGCACUCUCUGCGGAGAGGAUGCGUGUUUGAGUUUGAGGCUAAGAAAAAUCGACAUUGGGUGUGGUUCGCGGUGACAGUCGUGGGAAAUUGGAUCAGGGUAGACUUUUGGUUGGUAAGCUGAUUAAAAUUUUCUUUACAAUUUUUCGAACGGUUCUAAGAUGUUACUUCUUACACGUUUAAGGUAUCGAUCUUUAUGAGGUGUGGCUGUUGAAUCGGAUCACUUACAUAAAUAUUUAGUGAACUGACCUCAUACAGGUAAAAACA